UUAAACAUAAGAGCAUGAACUUGUUUUAAAGCAUUCCAUAACAUUAAAUGCAACUAUAAAUUGAUUUUAGUAUACUGUGUUGUACUUCAAUAAAUGAAAAAUGUAAAUGUUGACAAAUUGCUGUUGUGAAAGAGAAAUAAAACACUUCUGGAUUUGUUGUUAUAGGAAAAUAAUUAACAUGUGUUGGAACAGCAAUUCCAUUUCAUCAGUGAGUAUUUUAUUUGGUUUGUUUUGGUGUGUUUUAGUGUGUAUCAGUAUGGAUUAGUGUAUAAUACUGUGUGCUGGUGUGUAUCUUUGUGUGUUGGUGUGUAUAGGUAUGUGUUGUUGUGUGUUGGUGUCUAUAGAUGUUUGUUGUUGGGUGCUGGUGUGUAUAGGUGUGUGUCAGUGUGUAUAGGUGUGUGUUGUGGUGUAAUAUUGUGUGUUAGUGUGUAUGGAUGUGUGUUGAUGUGUGUUGGUGUGUAUAGCUGUGUGUUGGGGUGGAAUACUGUGUGUUAUGGUGUAUGGAUGUGUGUUGAUGUGUGUUGGUGUGUGUUGGGGUGGAAUACUGUGUGUUAGUGUGUAUGGAUGCGUGUUGAUGUGUGUUGGUGUGUAUAGGUGUGUAUUGGGG
This is a long non-coding RNA of Ictalurus punctatus (channel catfish), 607 nucleotides long. Lineage: Eukaryota; Metazoa; Chordata; Actinopteri; Siluriformes; Ictaluridae. The record is from Ensembl.